CCCUAUGGGGUGCAGCAGGCAUAUGGAUCGACGAAUACACUGCUAGCUUCAUCACAGUGGUAAUCUUAUAACAAGAUAGCCAGCAACACCAGGCAAAUCGUGCAGGAGUACCUUACCUCCAACAAAGAUAUCACGAAUAUACUUAUUAGCAAAAUGUCGUCUGAUGAUAUUACACUCAAAUAUGACGCAGCAGUAUUUCUCUCUGACAUUUGCCAGUCCGCCAAAAGAAUAUACAACUCAUCAAAAGAAAUAUUUUUUACAAAUAUAAGAUCGCAAGGAAUCAUACGGCAUCUACUCCAUAUAUUAACACAAAGACCCGAAGGAAAUGAUAUAAUCUCAUACUACACAGUGUCACAGCAGCAGCUCACUCUAACACACGCAGCUGAAAUCCUUGGAAGCAUUUUCUUCAUUUGCCCUGAUAAAUUCAAAGAAUACAUGGUGUCGCCAGAACAAACAGAUAGCAACUACCCACUCCUAAAUGAAUUGGCGGGAGGGC
Molecule: ribosomal RNA, 496 nt
Filed under: uncultured prokaryote
Description: partial 16S ribosomal RNA
Source: RNAcentral